Long non-coding RNA from Aplysia californica (California sea hare), 929 nucleotides. RefSeq lists it as uncharacterized. Lineage: Eukaryota; Metazoa; Mollusca; Gastropoda; Aplysiida; Aplysiidae. The transcript has 2 exons. The record is from RefSeq and is a predicted model, not a curated record.
UCUCCCCUUCCUCUCUUACCUUCUACUUUUGCUCCCAGAAUACUUUCCUCGAAUUAAUCUUUUUUGGGGGGUUCCCUUUUAGUUUUAUUAGCCCAAGUUGAUCCUGACAGGCAUGGUCGAAAAGUCCGCAUCUUUUACUUAAAUAAUCCAAAUUGUGUAAAUAUAUGGAGGCAUGAAAACACCACAUUAAAAAAAUUAAUUCUUCGUUAAAACACUAUACACCCAUUUUUUAACCAAUGGACACAAAACCUUAUAAGUAAUAUAAUCCUCUUAUUUCAACACAGGGAUUUGUGGAUCUGCAGUCUGACUUGUUCUUCAUCUUCCCUACCUUCGAGUUUGUGAGCCAGCUGAGCUCUGUGUCCCCCCAGACAGACAUCUUUUUGUACCUGUUUGAUUUUUAUCCUGAGUUUGAAUCGGCCGACGCCCCACAGACCGGCACGAACCACGGCACAGACCUGGCCUUCUUCUUCGACCAAGGCGACCUCGCCAGCAGCUACCUCGCCCCGGACAUCAGACUCAACACCCCGGCAGCCAUUUCCGUCACUGAUGCCUACAGGGGGACCCUCACCCAAUUCGCCAAGACCGGGAACCCAUCUCGUGCGGCAACUGGAGGCUCCCCGGCCUCAUGGCCCCGGUUCGAAUCCAAAGAGAAGUUGUACAUGGCCAUCGCUCCACAGUCGCAGGUUGGGAGAGAGUACUUUUCUCAACGGAUGUCGCUGUGGAAAGACUUCCUCCCGCAAGUUGCGACGAACGUGUUCACUGGACGCAGAGGUGCUCGCUUUUGGACGGGUUAAGUAGUUGUGUGGACUCGUGUACGACUUUUGCUGAGUUUGAAUGAUGGAAUAAAUAUAAUCGCUCCUCUGGACUUGGCGGUUGCUUUUAUCGGAUACCAGUACGAUUGCAAUGAAUCAGAUAAGUUGCUGAAAACA